This 533-nucleotide long non-coding RNA is filed under the name Homo sapiens (human). Its description in RNAcentral is "non-protein coding lnc-ZNF490-1:1". Lineage: Eukaryota; Metazoa; Chordata; Mammalia; Primates; Hominidae. The record is from RNAcentral.
CUCCGCCCGUGGGGACUGGCUGCUGCCGUCGCAGUUCUCAGGAGAUCUGAUGGUUUAAAGAUGUGCGGCACUUCCCACUUCGUGCUCUCUCCUGAUCCCUCCUGCUUCAAGUGAAGACUGACUCGAUCCCCAGUAGCCUUCCGCCUUGAUAAGUUUCCUGAGGCCUCCCAGCCUUGCUUCCUGUACAGCCUGCAGAACUGUGUGACCGUGGUGAUUGCUGGCAAUAGGGCACUGAAAAUACCACUGUUUUGAAGAGAAUUUUGUUUUAUGACAAAAUAUGGUCUCGCUCUGCUACCUAGGCUGGAGUGCAGUGGUACAAUCACAGUUCAUUGGAGCCUAGUCCUCCCGGCUCAAGCAAUCCUCCAACCUCAGCCUCCUGAGUAGCUGGGACUACAGGAACACACCACUACACCUAGAUGCAGAACAGUGAACACCAUGGACAAAGCAUCAAGACUCAAACUGACUCCAUCUCCCUUGAGGAUGUGGCUGUGAACUUCACCCUGGAGGAGUGGGCUUUGCUGGAUCCUGGCCAG